Molecule: transfer-messenger RNA, 364 nt
Filed under: Clostridia bacterium
Lineage: Bacteria; Bacillati; Bacillota; Clostridia
Rfam family: transfer-messenger RNA
About the family: Bacterial tmRNA, also known as 10Sa RNA or SsrA, is named for its dual tRNA and mRNA-like properties. Its role is to liberate the mRNA from a stalled ribosome.
Source: RNAcentral
GGGGGUGUUUUGGUUUCGACAGGAAGCUAAAGUGCUGCUUAUAAGCGUGUGCGAAGUCUUGACCUUCGUAAAAAUCAAGAAAAAAAUAAACGCAAAUAAUAAUUUUGUUGCAGCUGACGCUGCAGUUGCUGCUUAAUUUUAGCAGCCCGGCAACUAUAAGUUUCCCACUAACUUUUAGUUGUUGUUAACUUAAAUGGGCGGGCAAAAAUCAAUGUUGGUGUGGUUUUUGUCGGGAUUUAAUCAACUGGUUGUCACAAAUUUUGUUUGCUUAAAUGUGAUGAUGAGAUUCAAAACAAACUAUCACACGGAGAAGGGGUAGUAAUUUACUUUUUGGACGCGGGUUCAACUCCCGCCACCUCCACCA